CGGAAGGGUGAGUAAUGCCUAGGAAAUUGCCCUGAUGUGGGGGAUAACCAUUGGAAACGAUGGCUAAUACCGCAUAAUACCUUCGGGUCAAAGAGGGGGACCUUCGGGCCUCUCGCGUCAGGAUAUGCCUAGGUGGGAUUAGCUAGUUGGUGAGGUAAUGGCUCACCAAGGCGACGAUCCCUAGCUGGUCUGAGAGGAUGAUCAGCCACACUGGAACUGAGACACGGUCCAGACUCCUACGGGAGGCAGCAGUGGGGAAUAUUGCACAAUGGGCGCAAGCCUGAUGCAGCCAUGCCGCGUGUGUGAAGAAGGCCUUCGGGUUGUAAAGCACUUUCAGUCGUGAGGAAGGUAGUGUAGUUAAUAGCUGCAUUAUUUGACGUUAGCGACAGAAGAAGCACCGGCUAACUCCGUGCCAGCAGCCGCGGUAAUACGGAGGGUGCGAGCGUUAAUCGGAAUUACUGGGCGUAAAGCGCAUGCAGGUGGUUUGUUAAGUCAGAUGU
This 500-nucleotide ribosomal RNA is filed under the name Vibrio harveyi. RNAcentral describes it as "bacterial SSU rRNA". It matches the Rfam family "Bacterial small subunit ribosomal RNA", at positions 99 to 595 of the family's 1533-position model. The record is from RNAcentral. Lineage: Bacteria; Pseudomonadati; Pseudomonadota; Gammaproteobacteria; Vibrionales; Vibrionaceae.